Molecule: long non-coding RNA, 625 nt
Filed under: Brassica napus (rape)
Lineage: Eukaryota; Viridiplantae; Streptophyta; Magnoliopsida; Brassicales; Brassicaceae
Description: long non-coding RNA (BNAP_LNC008008)
Source: RNAcentral
UUGGUGUAACAAACUUUCUUAUUUCUGAUAAGCGUAAACAGAGUACAUGGUGAAGUUUAUAUAGUAGUUAUCCGGUUUACAUUGUAACUAUACCGAAUAACUAAACCACAUUAAACCAAUAUGUAUUUAAUACUUAUACUCUAAUAGUGGUGAAGAUCAUCAGUCCCGCUGGUGUCAAGGUACGGUGUCUCCGGCUCGUAUGUCUCCUUUUCCUCUCGGCUCACGUUCUCCACAUACAAACCAUAUAUGCAGCCUCAACGCCGUGGACGGGAUGGCACAGAAUGAGGCAUGUGAUGGCAGGGGCUGAUACUCCCGUGGUGAUGACUCGUCGUGGUUAGUGAUAAACGGCGGCGGAUCCACACUUUCCCACGAGACACCAAGACAAAGUGGAGCAAGACGGGUUGGAGGAGGAGAGAAACGAUGGAAAGAGAGAGAUGCAUGUGGAGGUGGACCAGGUGGUGCUAUGGAGGUGAUGGCUCCUCACUCACACGCUUUCAACAUUGGCGGCUUGCCACAUGGAAGAAGUUCUCUCCAUUAUAUAAUUAGGUUUAUGUGUAUACAAACACACGACUUGAAAAAAAACGAUAAGGCUUUGUUUGAUACUAUAUUAAAACAAACAAAAAAG